GACGAACCGUGCGAACGUUGUUCGGAAUCACUGGGCUUAAAGGGCGCGUAGGCGGGCGGUAAAGUCGGUGGUGAAAUCCUUCAGCUUAACUGGAGAAGCGCCUCCGAUACUGACUGUCUCGAGGGAGGUAGGGGCAUGUGGAACUCAGGGUGGAGCGGUGAAAUGCGUAGAUAUCCUGAGGAACGCCGGUGGCGAAAGCGACGUGCUGGACCUCUUCUGACGCUGAGGCGCGAAAGCCAGGGGAGCAAACGGG
Molecule: ribosomal RNA, 253 nt
Filed under: uncultured bacterium
Lineage: Bacteria
Description: partial 16S ribosomal RNA
Rfam family: Bacterial small subunit ribosomal RNA
Source: RNAcentral